Apis laboriosa (Himalayan honeybee) is the source of this 2773-nucleotide long non-coding RNA. RefSeq lists it as uncharacterized. The transcript has 3 exons. The record is from RefSeq and is a predicted model, not a curated record. Lineage: Eukaryota; Metazoa; Arthropoda; Insecta; Hymenoptera; Apidae.
UUGUAUACUUAUAUUGAAUCUCUCUCUUACUGUUAAAAUCAUAUAUCGUGAUCAGAAGAAGCAAUACAAAUAUACUUUUCUUUUUUUGUCUUUUAUGUAUUGCCAACAAAAAUAAUAGAUACAUACGUGUUUCAAAUUGUCAAAUCGCGAUCGUGAAAUCAAAGUGUGCAUGCAUCAUGGCGUAUCUAUAAUAAUUAUACCGAGUGAUUCAAAAUUCAAUGAAAAUAGUAGAUGAAAAACGGUGAAUGUAGAAAAUGAUGAAUAGAAAAAGAAAGAAAUUGAAUAAAAGAAAAUAGAAAGGAGAAAAAAAUAUAGAUACAAAAGAAGAGAGAGAGUGAAUCUUCUCAUUCAAAAAUAUAAAGAAUAGCACGGGAUACAAAAAAAAGUGAUUAGUGCCAAUUAUUUUUUGAAUAUUACUUUUCAAUAUUGUGUUGCAUAUAUUGUGUUGAUCCAAUCAUACGGAUGCGUUAAUUAAUAUAAUAAAUGUGACAGUGACCAUCAUUAAUAGCUGUGGAAUAUCACGACACAUUUCACCUUUCUAUCCGUUUUCAUUUCUAUAUAUAACUCACUUAACCUGUAGAUUUAUGGAUAUUUGCUUCGCGGAAUUCUAUAACUACAGAUUUUCCUAUUAGUUUCUUUCUAGUUUUAUUUCUAAUUUCUCUUUCUCUUUGCAAUUAUAUGCAGUAUCCUUUCUUCUAUUCUUAUAGAAUUUUAAGAUAUGGAAUUGAUAUAAUUAAUAUUUUUUAUAAAUUUUAAUUUAUUAUCAUCAUUAUAAUUGAUGUUUUUUUUUAAUAUACACAGAGAAGAUUAAAUGUUAUUACAUAAUCCUUCAUUAUAUAUCAAGAUUUAAAUUACAAAUUUAAAUUAAGUGCAAUCUUUUAUAAAAAAAAAAACUAUAAAAAACUAACAUGAUAUAUUAUUAUGUUAUGCAUGAUUAAUAUAAAAUUAUUACAUAAUAGGUUGUCGUAGUCAUAAAUUACAUUAAAAAGAUAUUAUUGAAUUGAAGUCAUCACAAAUUUUGUGUAUGAUAUUAACGAAAAUUAUAUUGAAUACGUAAUGAAUAUGUUCCUUUCAAAAAAAUUGUAUGGUCUUUGAUUAACAAAAUAUGAUCGAAAACAAUCUAUAACGUCCGAGAAAAUAUGAAGUGUUUAAUAGUAAACUACGCUACAAAUUAAUUUAAUAUAUGAUUAUUUUAUUCCUAUAUAUAUAAUAAAACUAACUUUAUAUUUUAUUUUAAAAAACAUUUAACGUUAUUUAACGCACAAACACUGUUGCGAAAAAUAAUAGGUUAUUUUUUUGUAAAACCAAGGUGUGUAGAUUUCAGAUUUUACGGCAGCUGAACGUGACUAGAAAGAGCGCUACGGCCAAUUUAAUAGCAUUCAUGCGAGAAUUGACACUUGACACGUGGUGCCGUUUGACCGAAGGUCGAUCGUUAUUCAGGAUUAAGCAUGCGCGUGAAAACAGCGCCAAAAUCACUGAACUCGCCUAACCAACCGUUGUUUUCAUAUUCUCUAAAACAUUGUUUAUAAUAACUUCGCUUUUUUUCAUUAGUUUACAACCUUCGAGAAUAUUUAUCUGAAAUUCUACAAUAAUGCAUGACGAUAGUAUAAAAGAGAAACAAAAUUAAAAAACCAGUAAAGGAAUUUUGAAGAUAAUCACUUGCAGCCAAUCGGUCAUUGACCUUUGCCUUGCAACGUAUGUAAAUAUAAUAUACGUUUUGCACGCUAGAUGUCGCUCAUUAUGCGUUUUAAAUGGCAAUCUCAAGAAAUUAUAAAUUACAUUUAUGGAUUAAAAUCAAAACAAUAAAUAUUAUGUAGAGCUUGCAUUCGACAAGAAAGAUUUUUUGCUCGUUCCGCCUCUUUAUCUUUAUUACUUACUCAUUAUCACUAUAUUUUAUUUAGUUUCAGACUUAUUCCGUCUUUUUACUACGCAUCGAACUAAUGUGAUAUUUUCUGCCAAUAGGGAAAAUAUGUGUGACAAGGUCAUUUUAAGUAAGAGUAAGACACAACGUUCCAACCAAUUAGACCUACAUUCCUUUCCAGUGCAAACUCUUGAGUUUCAAUAUAUUUUUAGAUGUUUCACUACAUCUUCUUGAUUAGAAUUAGAAUCAGAAUCGUACUAUUAUUGAUGCUAUGUUAAUCACGAUCACAUUUUAAUAUUCCGACUUUUUCUAUGAACGACGUAAAAGAUUCAACAAGUAAAUGAAUAUCAAUAUUUAAGAUAUAUUGUUGUUCAUCCUUUAGAUCAAUAAGAAUCGAUAUGACAGGCCCAAUCGACAGGCCCACAGGUCACAGUUUCUUUUCACGAGAUGUAAAAGGAGACGAUCUUGUAUUAGUAACUGUAAGCGACUUCACCUUCCAUCAGCAGGGGGCAACAAGCCUGUCAGACAACGAUGCGGACACGACAAUAAUAACACAAGACGGAGAACACGCGAGAAAUGGACAUAGAAAAUUUCUAUAUAUAUAGUAUAUAUUGGUAAUAUUCUUGACUCGAAGAAAAUACAGAAUACUAGUUUAAAUAAAUCUGUGCUUGUCAACACCGCAAUUUUUAAUUCCUGUACCAUUUUUUAUGAAUAAGCAUAAAUAAUGAUACCAUAUUAGAUGACUGGAAAGAUAAAUUCGAGUUGAAUUACCGAAAAAUUAAAAAAAUAAAUAAAAUAAAACUAUAUGAUCAAAAUCUAGAGAAAUCAAACUCGAAUUUACAAUCUUACAUUUUUACAUUUAAUUGAUUCAUUCAUGUUGUUAACAUAAAUUUAAAUAUCGUAAUAACAAAC